Ricinus communis (castor bean) is the source of this 1732-nucleotide RNA transcript. It is a transcript of the gene named UDP-glucose 4-epimerase 2, with no coding region annotated. The transcript is spliced from 9 exons. Lineage: Eukaryota; Viridiplantae; Streptophyta; Magnoliopsida; Malpighiales; Euphorbiaceae. The record is from RefSeq and is a predicted model, not a curated record.
AUAUUCACAUUCCUAAAGCAGCCUAUUUCUCGUGAUUUUUUAUUUUCAAUAUAUAUAUAUAAAUCCAGUCCCUCCAAAACUAAAUAACUUCCACCGCUUUUCUAUAACUCUUCUCUCUUCUCUUCUUUCUCUCUCUCCCUCUCUCUCUCUAAUUCUCUGUGUUUCGAUUUACUAUCGAUAUCAUCAUGACACCAAAUAGCACUAUUCUCGUGACCGGUGGUGCCGGUUAUAUCGGAAGUCACACGGUCCUUCAACUCCUUUCAGGCGGUUAUUCCGUCGUCGUCGUUGAUAAUCUCGAUAACUCUUCCGAUAUUGCUCUCAAACGCGUUAAAGAACUCGCCUCUCAACACGGCAACAACCUGUCCUUUCAUCAGGUUGACCUGAGGGACAAACCAGCUCUGGAAAAAAUUUUCUCUCAGAAUAAAUUUGAUGCUGUUAUUCAUUUUGCUGGGCUCAAAGCUGUCGGUGAGAGUGUGGAGAAGCCAUUACUUUAUUUUAAUAAUAAUCUUAUUGGAACUAUUACAUUGCUUGAAGUAAUGGCUGCGUAUCGAUGCAAGAAGCUGGUGUUUUCUUCGUCAGCUACUGUUUAUGGUUGGCCAAAGGAGGUUCCUUGUACAGAAGAGUUUCCUUUAUCGGCAGCUAACCCAUAUGGAAGAACCAAGCUUUUCAUUGAGGAGAUCUGCCGUGAUAUCUACCGUUCUGAUUCUGAGUGGAAGAUUAUAUUGCUAAGGUACUUCAAUCCAGUUGGUGCACACCCUAGUGGGCAUAUUGGUGAGGAUCCCCGUGGAAUUCCAAACAAUCUUAUGCCAUAUGUGCAGCAGGUUGCUGUUGGCAGGCGACCUCAUCUUACAGUCUUUGGAACUGAUUAUUCAACCAAAGAUGGUACCGGAGUGCGUGACUACAUUCAUGUUAUUGACCUAGCUGACGGCCACAUUGCAGCAUUGCGUAAGCUCUCUGAUGCUAAAAUAGGUUGUGAGGUAUACAACUUGGGAACAGGAAAGGGGACAUCAGUAUUGGAGAUGGUAACGGCAUUUGAGAAGGCAUCUGGGAAGUGCUGUUCGAUAUGUGUGCUGUCUCUUAUUGUUGACUCACUUGAUCUUUACACUAAUGAUACAACGACAGAAAAUUCCUCUUGUAAUGGCUGGAAGGCGUCCUGGUGAUGCGGAAAUCGUUUAUGCAUCGACAGAUAAGGCAGAACGUGAAUUGAAUUGGAAGGCAAAAUUUGGCAUUGAUGAGAUGUGCAGGGAUCAAUGGAACUGGGCUAGCAAGAAUCCUUAUGGCUAUGGAUCUGCUGACACCGCUAAGUGAAGGACGAAACUAUUUUUAUUUAUUUAGACUUUAAUUUAGUCUUCCUUGGCCGCCUCGCCAUGCUUAUAGAACCGACAGGAAUUAGGUCUGCCUAAACUUUGCUAGUAGAAUAUUUAUUUUGAUAAACAAUAGUUGUGUUAUCAUCCGCAAAUAAGCUGCCUCACCCCACACACACCUCCCCCCCAGAUUUACAUAAAAAAAGGUCCAUACCCCACUUUAGGUCUCCCCCUCUUUGCAGAACACUCUUGUGGUGACUGUUACUUGAGGGCUACAUAUUUUUUCAAGUCAAUUAGCUGACUCUUUUCUAAUUGAGUAAAUAAAUCUUUCUAAUUUAUUUAUGUAAUCUCCCUGUCCAUGUUUCAUUGUAUUUCAAUCUUCGAGAUUGUAAUUAAUAGCAAGUAAUCUUCUUCUCUGCUUAUGAUUA